Molecule: unclassified non-coding RNA, 816 nt
Filed under: uncultured Acidobacteriota bacterium
Lineage: Bacteria; Pseudomonadati; Acidobacteriota
Description: uncultured Acidobacteria bacterium partial contains 16S ribosomal RNA, 16S-23S ribosomal RNA intergenic spacer, and 23S ribosomal RNA
Rfam family: Bacterial large subunit ribosomal RNA (bases 703-816)
Source: RNAcentral
UCUAAGAGAGAACGUGGGUGGAGUCCUGAAAGCGGAUCGUUUGAGUGUACAGCGAUCACGCCAGUAGAAGGCAGCCGUUCCACUCCAUAUAGCUGUUAGCUAUUAGCUUUUAGCGAUUAGCUGGGCAGCUAAAUCUCGUCUCGCAAUCUCCACUUGGAGAAUCUGGAAGAGUUUUGAGGUGGCGAAGGACUGGAUUCCUUCGUCCCUGCAUCCAACUGGCCUCGAUUGAUUAAGCAGAGAAUUCAGGAGUCAGAAUUCAGAAUGCGUGAUUGUGUUCUGGGUUUGGGCUGGCUCCUGGUUCUCGGGAUUUAGGGGCUGUAGCUCAGCUGGGAGAGCGCCUGAUUUGCAUUCAGGAGGUCGCCGGUUCGAUCCCGACCAGCUCCACCAGAGUGGCAGGAAGUAUCGCCGCUGGCCCGGGCCCGUAGCUCAGAUGGCUAGAGCGCACCCCUGAUAAGGGUGAGGUCGGUGGUUCGAUUCCACCUGGGCCCACCAAGAAUCAGCUAUUAGCUGCUAGCUAUUAGCUGUUAGCUUCUGUCGUCGCGACAGAGGUUGACAGCCAAUAGCUGGAAGCUCAUAGCUAAGAGCUAGCUGCUAAUAGCUAGCAGCUUUCAAUCGAUCUUUGACAAUUGAAUAUUUGACGGGCAUUUUAGAAAUCACAAGUUAAAGUAGCGUUCGAACAUUUGUGUACGAAGUAGACGUUAUGGUCAAGCUACUAAGGGCGUGUGUGUGGAUGCCUAGGCGCAAGAAGGCGAAGAAGGACGUGAUCAGCUGCGAUAAGCUUCGGGAAGCCGCUAAUAGGCUAUGAUCCGGAGAUUU